RNAcentral lists this ribosomal RNA (460 nucleotides) under uncultured bacterium. RNAcentral's name for it is "partial 16S ribosomal RNA". It matches the Rfam family "Bacterial small subunit ribosomal RNA", at positions 338 to 795 of the family's 1533-position model. The record is from RNAcentral.
CCUACGGGCGGCAGCAGUGAGGAAUAUUGGUCAAUGGACGGAAGUCUGAACCAGCCAUGCCGCGUGCAGGAAGACGGCUCUAUGAGUUGUAAACUGCUUUUGUACAAGGGUGAACCUGAAUACGUGUAUUCAGCUGAAAGUACUGUACGAAUAAGGAUCGGCUAACUCCGUGCCAGCAGCCGCGGUAAUACGGAGGAUCCAAGCGUUAUCCGGAUUUAUUGGGUUUAAAGGGUGCGUAGGCGGUUUGAUAAGUUAGUGGUGAAAUGUCCGAGCUUAACUCGGGAACUGCCUCUAAUACUGUUGGUCUAGAGAGUAGAUGCGGUAGGCGGAAUGUAUGGUGUAGCGGUGAAAUGCUUAGAGAUCAUACAGAACACCGAUUGCGAAGGCAGCUUACCAAUCUAUAUCUGACGUUGAGGCACGAAAGCGUGGGGAGCAAACAGGAUUAGAUACCCUUGUAGUC